RNAcentral lists this long non-coding RNA (569 nucleotides) under Dasypus novemcinctus (nine-banded armadillo). RNAcentral's name for it is "lncRNA (ENSDNOG00000050153.1)". Lineage: Eukaryota; Metazoa; Chordata; Mammalia; Cingulata; Dasypodidae. The record is from RNAcentral.
CUGCUGCAGAGGCCUUCCGGGGAGACCUACCGUGGUGGAUAUUAGGUUCAAGGAGAAGCCAAGGAGGGGAGGCCUUUUGGAAAUCAGAUCAGGAGCCGGGGCCACUCCAAGUAAAGUUUUUAACAAGAGUGAGCCUAGCAGGCUCUCACCCUGCUGCCGUGCUGUUAGGAAGGCUGGACGGCCCUGGAGGAAGGCCAUGUGGAGGGGAAACGGGCCCUCAUUCUUGGCUGAGUUCCCAGCCCACAGCAGCCCCAGCUUGCCAGCCAUGUGGGUGCCAUCUUGGAAAUGGAUCCUCAGGCCCCGUUCGAACCACCCCAGCUAAUGCUGCCUAGGGCAGAGGCAUGCUAACCCCGCGGGACCCGGAAUAGCGACAGAUUUAUGAGUUACAUAGAUGAUUGCAGUGUUAACUCACUAAAUUCUGGGAUGGCUUGCUAUGCAGCAAUAAUUACUGAAUCUGUUAGACAGGUAAAUAGGGUGGAGGUAAGGUGAGCUUUUCAGGCUCCAACCCCCACUUCCCCUCUUCUCCACCUCCUAAAUUCUAAUAUUUGUUACAGGUCCACAAUCCCUUA